Molecule: transfer RNA, 67 nt
Filed under: Opistholeptus burmanus
Lineage: Eukaryota; Metazoa; Arthropoda; Insecta; Hemiptera; Pachygronthidae
Description: tRNA-Asn
Source: RNAcentral
UUAGUUGAAGCCAAAAUAGAGGCGUUUCAUUGUUAAUGAAAUAAAUGGAAUUAAUAUCCCAACUAAA